GUGAUAUCUAUAGCUUUUGAAUUAUUUCAUUGUGUAAUAUUGUAAAGAUAUUUUAAUUUUACUAUAUUUAGACUUUUUAGAAUUUAAUAGUGUAUUUUGGAGUAUUAAUUCAAGCUGAUUGUUUAUGAUAUAUGAUAAUUUCAUAAUCAUUUGUAUCUAAUCAAACGGCAGGUAGCCCAAAGAAAAAUUUAUUAUAUAUUCGUUGUACAUCCGCUCGGUACACGUUACACAACUUAGAAACGCUCUCCGUAACAUUUCUGACCAUUCUAAAAAAUGCAUUUUCUUAUUUGACUGGGUUAGUCAAAUAAGAUUUAUAUUUUGGCGGGAAGCCCUUCGAUUAUUUCCGUAAAUGUUCGGAUCUGAGUCACGUGAUAUGAUUUACUAAACGAAAAUAAUGGCGGACAAUACGAAAGGUGUGUCACGUAUACGAGAAAUGAAUUUUGAGAUUGGAAAAGGAAAAAGCGAAAAGUGGAAAGGAACUGUGAUUUAAUUCAAUCAAGGAUAUACUCCGGUAGUGAUUCAAAGCGAUGAAAAGAUCUGUAAAGGGUAAUUAAAACCAAAAGCGACCGUGAAGUUGUUGUCUGAUUGACAGGUGAGGUGAUCAUCGUUUUUGUUUGCAUUUAAUUUUUUCUUGGUCUUAGAUCUACUUAUAGAAAAAAUUCACCUACGAAUAUAUAAACACAGAUAUUGUGUUAUAGUUUUUUGGAUGGUUUUGACUUAUGAUAAAGAAAUUAAGCUUGCAGAUCCACUUCUGUGUAUCAAGUUUUCGUUCACUGUAAUUUUCGUACCAAUAAAUUGUUAACAGGUUAAAUAAAAGAUCGGCUGAGCCUAAUCCUUUACAAUUUUAUGGCGUAUGUUCAUUGUAACCAUUGUAAUAUCGUUUAAGAUGGCCAAUCACUAUCUUUUAAGAAUCAUUUAAGACACAAUAAAAUUAUAUUUUGAAUAACUUUUAUUUUCCAAUCACAUUAUUGUUUUUUACUGUAAGCUGUACUGUAUAGUAACUACAAUGCUGUGAAAUAGAUUAGCCACAUGUGUCUCAAAAAGGGUUAGAACUAUUGACUAGCAGAACAGGCAUUUCUUCAAAGUAUGUUCAACUAUCAAGGGUAGUCCUAUAAAUGUGACGUCCUUUGAUUUUGAGAUAUUUUUGCUUUUGGGCAACCUUGACCGACAUUUAAGCAAUAACAAGCCCGUAAGUCUGAUAUAUUGAUCUACUAUUCAGGGUUGUCGAAUCUUCAAAGAAAUAAAGUAGAAAAAAUAAAAUGUUGUCUGGAAAAUCGCACAAAAAUCAAUAUUUUUGUCUCAUUUGAAUCAUUUUUGCAGUAAAAUUUCAGCAUUUCACAAUUUGAAAAAUAAUCAUGGACAAUAACCAUAAUUGUGCUGGAAACGUUAGAUAAUUCUUAUUGACAACCCUUCUUCCUUAUAAGCAGUGCAGCAAUUCAUGUAUUGUAAUUGGUUUGAAUAGUCAAGAUUUUAGGCCAUGGUACUAGUAUGCUAUAUUUUCUGAAUUUUUCAAUUACAGAAAUAAGUCAAUUUCAUCAUCAUCAUGUGUUGCAAUACCACUACCAGGGACAUCAAAGAUGACCUGGACUUCAGUGCAUAUGUAGAGGAGAGUAGCACUAAAGAAAGCCAAUAAAAUCCUUUUGGAGUUGAAUUGAGACACAACCAUUCAUUUCUGGUUUAGUUAUAAAACUGCUACAGACUAUAAACUAUUCAUGAUGAUGGAAUACACCAAUGCCUGGUACAAUCAUGGCCCAUUAGAAACCAGAACAAACCAUGGCUGCAAAGGAAAUAUUAUUUAAUAAGAUGCACAUAGUCUGAAAGAUCUGGCUGGUGUUCUGAAUAAUAUGACAUAAUAUCUCAACUGCAGAAGUACAGCUGGCAUGGAGGGGUUUCACCAGCACAUCUUGAUGUAUUGUACCAAAAGAUUUGCUUACACACCACAUGUUUAUAGGAUGCACAAUCUUCUUGCAGCCAUAGAUUAUAAUAUACAUGGAAAUAGACCAUACAUCACCAACAAGGGGGAUCUGUUAGACUUCAUCGAGUCUGGAUGAAUUAAAGAAGAAGAAAAAGUAUCAUUAUACCAUUUUUCAUGAUGCUAUAACUCUGAGAAUUAGUGACAUGGAGGGGAUAUAUAAAAUAGAAAGUUAGAGGAAGAUGACCCCCACCGACUUGCAAAAUAUUUGGCCCAAGUUAGCCCGAAGCCUACCCGAGCCAUUCAUGAGGAACAUAAAUCAAGAUAUGAUUGACUUUUUAGCUCACCUGUCACAAAGUGACAGGUUGAGCUUUUGUUAUCGCUUUUCGUCCGUCCAUCGUCUGUCCGUCCGUAAACUUUUGCUUUAAAUGACAUCUCCUCAUAAACCACUGAGCCAAUUUCAUCCAAACUUCACAGGAAUGUUGCUUUGGUGGUCACCUUUAAAAAUUGUUCAAAGAAUUUAAUUCCAUGCAGAACUCUGGUUGCCAUGGCAAUCGAAAGAAAAAUCUUUAAAUAUCUUCUUUUAAACAACCCUAAGAGCUAGAGCUUAGAUAUUUGGCAAGAAAUAUCUUCUAGUGAGUGUCUACCAAGUUUGUUUAAAUAAAAGCCCUGGGGUCAAAAUUGGCCCCGCCCCAGGGGGUCAUUGAUUUUCCCUAUAUGCAUAUAGUAAAAACUUAAAAAAUCUUCUUUUAAAGAACCCAAAGAGCUAGAGCUAAGAUAUUUGGCAUUAAACAUCUUCUAGUGAGUGUCUACCGAGUUUGUUCAAAUAAAAGCCCUGGGGUCAAAAGGUCUGUUUUUAAUAUUUUGUCAGAAAAAUGACUACUUUUUAUACAAGUGCAAAAUAUUAUCCAAUCUAUUAAACUAUAAGUGCUGCUAUGAGCUUUAAUGUAGUAACAAAGUUAAAAGUAUUAUUCAAUUAUAUCUUUUGUACUAUGUCAUUCACUUAGGCUCAGCUUUUCUUUUCUUUUUUUUUUUGAAAAAAGAAAUAGAGGUUGCUGCCGUUGCCUUCUGCAAACUUGAACCUUGUUCAUAACUUUUAAAGUUCUUGGUGUAUUGUCUAACCUUGGCCUUCAUUCAUAAUUGACCUUGACCUUCAAGGUUAAAUGUCUAAAUUUUGGCUUUGCUUGUUAUUUGCUAUUAGUGGCUUUAACUUUAUUGCCCUUUGUUAAUUUUCAUAUUGCAUUUUUGUCUUGGCCAUUUCUCCUAAACUAUAUUGUUCACAAGGCAACACAUCCGACUCGCGGAGAUCUAGUUGUUAUUAGUCCAUGAAUUGUUUGUAGUCCAAUCUAGUUUAUUAGACCAAUGACAUAGGGGCAUUUUAUAUAAAAUCCUUGUUCAAUCAAACAAGGCAAGCCUUAAAAUUAUCUUUGUAUUUACUCCCUCAUCCCAUUCCAGUUCAGAUAGGUUAGGUGGGCUGAUAAAAUAUUUAUUUUUGUGCCCCCAAUUUAGUGGCGGACAUUUAGAUUUACCCUUGUCCGUCCGUCCGUAUUUCACCUAGAGUCAUGAAACUUUACUGUAAUGUUGAUCAGCAAGUGUAGUUGUUCACCUUGGUAUUUUCAUCUGGAUAUUUUUAGUAUUUUCAGAGUUACUGCCAUUGAAUUUUUGCAAUUUUCAACUUGUGUCACAUGUUACUCAAGCAGUAUUUGACCUAGAGCAAUGAAACUUUACAGGAAUGUUGAACAUUAUGUGUAGUUGUGCACCUGGGUAUUUUCGUCUGGAUUAAGUAUUUUGAGAGUUAUGGCCCUUGACUUAGUAAAAUUUUGCAAUUUUCAACUUGUGUCGCAUGUAACUCAAAAAGUAUUUGACUUACAGUCAUGAAACUUUACAGGAAUGUUGAUCAGCAUGUGUAGUUGCGCAUCUGGGUAUUUUCGUCUGGAAUUAUUUAGGAUUUUUAGAGUUAUUGCCCUUGACUUGGUAAAAUUUUGCAGUUUUCAACUUGUGUCACAUGUAACUCAAAAAGGAUUUGACAUAGAGUCAUUAAACCUUAUGGGAAGGUUGCUCAGCAUAUUUAGUUUUGCACCUGGGGUUUGGCUUGUGGAUUUAUCCAUUUCAAUCAACAAAUAUCCCAACAUUUGUAUAUUUACAAUUAAAAAAUCACGAGACAGUUAAAAAGAUGUCAUUCUCAUUGACACUCUGAUUUCAUGUUAGUAAACAAAUCCUGGACAAUAAGAUAUUUUAGGUAGCUGUGCUAUUUGUAGGUAGGUCGCGGGAGUGGGGAACAAACAAUAUUUUACAUUCAGGGGUAAGCCUAAGUUUUAAGGCUUGGUAGGAACAUUGCCCUUCCCCAGAUAAUGGCACCAACUGAUUUUGAGGUAAUUAGAUUUAAAGCUCAAGAUGGCAUAAAGUUUAACUUCCUUUAAAUAUGUGUAACAUUGUAAGGUAUAGUUUAUGUAACUCAGAAGGAAAAAUUCUGAUUGCCAUUAGUUUUAAUAUUGGUCCAUUUGAUUAUAAGUUCAAGGUCUCAGUGACAUGUAAACUCAUUGUCCCAAGGUUUUGAACAUUUCCAGGGACAUUGCUUAGAUUAGUAAUUAAGCAUUAGUUUGGAUUUAAUAAGGUCUAAGGUCACAAUGGCUUAAGCAUAAUACCCUUCAUCACCAGAAACCCAUAAGGGGUUAACUCAAGUUCAUACAAUUUGGUUGGAAUUAAGAUAUUAUUUAUUUCCUUCUACAAUAUUGGCCAUCUUCACACUUUCUCUUCCUGUUAAGACAGCAUGGAUUGAAUAAAAAAUAAAACUAUAACUGUAAAGAAGUCACUGUUGUACAAUUUUAAGAGUAAGAAAAAAAGAUAUGCUGUUCAUUUGAAAAUAUUUUAUUGUUGUUUUACUGCCAAUGUUCAAAUACAUGUUUCAAUUUAUCUGUGUUUUUGUUAUUUUAACAACAUUCCAAAAUGUGUCCUGAAACGUGCUAAGAGAAGUGGAGUGUAAAUUAACAUUGAAAGGUAUUUGUAAAACAUUGUUACAAUCUGUGAUCUUAUUUGAAUUUUAAAAAAGUACAUUUGACAUCAGAAAAUAGAGAAAUAAAGAAUUCCUGCAGAAAGCCCAAAAUGACAAAAUUGAAACUGUUGCAGGCUCUAUUUGGUGAGCCUGUUGGAAGGUGCAAGUUACCUUCCAUGCCCCCCUAGCACCAGCUUUAGCAGAAUUCAACAUUUGAACAUAAAGUGGUGAAAUUUAUGGUUUAAUGCCAUACCGGUGUACAUAAUCCAGAGAUUAGGAUUUAAUUCUUGGCAAUCUUAUUUUCAGUGGAAUGCAACUGUUCAUUGUUAACAGAAUAAUAUUUACACAGGUUGCACUGUGUUUGUAUUGGAAUGAAAUUCUCAUUAGUACAUUAUUCUCCAUAAUGUGCACUUUUACAAAAGGCUAACAUUAAAAUCAGGUCUUGAGUGAUCAUUUUCAAAAUUAUAGGCAUCAGAACUUUAACUUGGUCCUUUUUCCAUUCUUGUUUGCUUAUAAAUUGAAGUAUAAUUAUACAUUAUCAUAUAUCAAACGGUUGAGUCUGUAGAUGUUAAAUAUGUAUUGGCUUUGCAUGCAGUUGACUGGUUAUUUAAUCUGGUAACACCCUAUACAGGUCAUUACACCAGAUUGUCAAAUUAUAUUUCUUUUCAUUAUAAUUUCCUAACACAGACACUUGGGUUUGGAGCUCAAAACGCCUUUAAAAUAAAUAAAAAAAAAAACAAACUAAAUAUAAGCCGUUUUGAAAAAAAAUCAUAUUUCAACAUCUAUAAUAUAAUACAGAUUGAGCACCAAAGCCCAAGUGUCUGUGUUUCAUAAUAUUUACAUGACGCACACUACUGUAUGCCAUUUUACUACGAUGGAAGCUUGGCAAUAGGUACGUAUUAUUUCUGGUACGAACCGAUCAUAAAGAACGGCUAAUUUACCGAUUUCAAAUAACCACAGCAACCGUACGACAUAGACAUUAUGACCAAUUACGCUCCAUCUUCUUGUUUACUGUAGAUCUAGUGAGAGUCUCAGACUUUGUUCUUUUUCCGAUUGUUUCGUAACGCGUUACGAGGAUAUAAGCUACAUUCCUUAGCUAAUAAAU
Molecule: long non-coding RNA, 6009 nt
Organism: Ruditapes philippinarum (Manila clam)
Lineage: Eukaryota; Metazoa; Mollusca; Bivalvia; Venerida; Veneridae
Exons: 6
Source: RefSeq, a predicted model, not a curated record